This 6287-nucleotide long non-coding RNA is filed under the name Sus scrofa (pig). Its description in RNAcentral is "lncRNA (ENSSSCG00065020029.1)". The record is from RNAcentral. Lineage: Eukaryota; Metazoa; Chordata; Mammalia; Artiodactyla; Suidae.
GGGCUGCACCCACAGCAUAUGGAAGUUCCAAGGCCAGGGGUCCAAUGGGGGCUGUAGCUGCUGGCCCACACCACAGCCACAGCAACACAGGAUCCAAGCCACAUCUGUGACCUACACCACAGCUCAUGGCCACUAUGGAUCCCCAACCCACUGAGUGAGGCCAGGGAUAGAACCCACAUCCUCAUGGAUACUAGUUGCAUUUGUUUCCACUGAGCCACAAUGGGAACUCCUCCCCAUGACUCGUGGCUCCUGCCAUUAAGGGUCAUGUGUGGUUCCCUCCCUUACGGAAUAGGACAAGGCUGUAUAACGAAUAGGAUAGUGGAAAUGACAUUAUGUGACUCCCAGCUUGGGUCCUAAAGACAGCACAGCUUCCUUCUUGCUGUCUCUGGAGUCCCUGGCUCUGGGGGAAGCUGCUGCCAUGUUGUGAGGUCACUCAAGCAGCCUUUAGCAAGGAGGCUGUUGGCACUAACAUGCAGACAAGCGAGUGAGCUUGUAUGGUCAAGAAGCAUAUCAUGCAGCACCAGGUGCCCACAGUCCCAGCAAAUCUCUGAUGCAGUCUUACAAGUGAUGGGGAGCCAAUAUCACCCAGGCAAGCCACUGCCAGAUUUCUGACCUUCUGAACAUUCAUUGAUUUAAACUGCUAAGGUUUGGGGUAAUUUGUUUUGCAGCCAUGACUAUCUAACACACGUUAUUAGCUUGCACUGUGUCUCAUCACCCAGCCCUAGGACAUAUGGAUUUUUUUUUUCAACGUAUCAUGACACAAUUCUUCCAAAUGGAGGGGUCCUGGAGAUGAAUCUCACCCCAUCAAAUUCUCAUUAAAACCCUUUCUCCCUGACACGGUGGUUUGGUUUCUGUCUGUUUCCCUGGAGGAGAGAGUCAGUCCUGAAGUCCUAGAAACAAGGUGGAGCAGGUAGUGGGUUCUUAAGGCCACUGAGUCAUUCAUUAACCCAUGCUCUCUCUUUCUCUCUUUUAUUUUUUAUUAUUAUUGUUUUUAUUUUUAGGACUACACCCUCGGCACAUGGAAGUUCCCAGACUAGGUGUCCAAUCAGAGCUGCGGCUGCCAGCCUAUGCCACAGCUCACAGCAACACUGGAUCCUUAAUGCACUGAACGAGACCAGGGAUCAAACCUGAGUCCUCAUGGUUACUAGUCAGAUUCAUCACUGCUGAGCCACAGUGGGAACUCCUCUUUCUCUUUUUUUGAACCAUAAUUAUUUUCAAAUAUCUUAAGGAGAACAGUAAAGUUUUGCAUAUUCCUUGAGGCUUUUUAAAAACUAGGAGGAUUGAGAUUUUGUUUAUUAUUUUUGGAGAGAAAUACAAUGUGGGAAGGCUUCUCAUUUGUAGGUGCCUGAGCUCUGCCCCCAGGGCCCCUCCAGGCUCAGUGUCUGUCCUCUCCAUGGUAAAUCACAGGUGACAGUCACAUCUGGGGAGAACAGCCCAUGGGAACACAGAGAUUCACACUGAGAGCAGUAAGGGGAGCUUGGGACAGCCUCCAGAGCAGCAGCGGGUGACAGGGCAAGGGACUUGUCCCCUUCAGCACAGAGGGAGCCCAGAAUCACCCUGAAGAGUGGAAAUGGAUGUUUCCCUUUGGGGCCAUGGAGAUUUGGGACAACUUGAAAUAUCAGUGGGAUAUCAAGCUUCAUCUGGCGCCUUGAUAGAUAGUCUUGGGCUUACAUUUUCCUAAAAUGGUGGGGAAAAAAGAAGAGGCAAAAGGAAAGCAAGGAUCUCAUCUUCCAGGACCUCGGUCUACUCACUGGGGAGUCAAGAACUCCACUUCCUCCAGGGUCCGUGUUUUCUCUACCGGCUGUGGCACUCCCUCACGUUUUUUGCCGUUGUUGUUUGUUUUUUUCUUUCUCUUUUUUUGUCUUUUGUCUUUUUAGGGCCACACACGUGGCACAUGUAAGUUUCCAGGCUAGGGGUUGAAUCGGAGCUACACCUGCCAGCCUCCACCACAGCCGCAGCCACAGCAACUUGGGAUCUGAGCCACAUCUGUGACCUACACCACAGCUCUCGGCAACACUGGAUCUUUAACCUACUGAGCGAGGCCAGGGAUCGGACCCACGUCCUCAUGGAUACUAGUUGGUUUUGUUAACCGCUGAGCCAUGACGGGAACUCCUCCCUCACCGUUCUAAGGCUGAAAUUCCCUGAUGUGUCUUGAGAGAUGGACACAAGGUUCAAAUAGGGCUGGAUGGAGACCGAGACCUCUGAUAACGGCGCUUCCCUGUAGAUAUGGGGUUAGAGUGUUCAUGGGAUGAAAGAGAGGCAGGGCCAAGUUCACAGCCAAAGGCAAUGCCACCCAGAAGUGUCCCCAAGGAGCCUCCACGUCCAGUUCAAGAUGACCACCUUCAUAGAGGGCUACUGAUGUCCUCAUUUCAACAGCUCUUUCUGCAUCCACCCCAAGAAGAGCUCGCUACUUGGUGAAGGUCCCGUGGAUAACCUUACAAGGUCACUCCAGCUGUCGUUUUUUGUGUAUGUUUGUUUGCUUGUUGUUUUUGUUUUCUUUUUAUGGCUAUACCUGUAGCAUAUGGAAGUUCCCAGGCUAGGGGUCACUCGGAGCUGCAGCUGCAGGCCUAUUGCACAGCCACGUGGGAUCUGAGGCGCAUCUGUGACCUAUGCUGCAGCUUGUGGCAAGGCUGGAUCCUUAACCCACUGAGCAAGGCCAGGGAUCAAACCUGAAUCCUCAGGGAGACGACAUCAGAUUCUUAACCUGCUGAGCCACAACAGGAAUGCCUCACUCCAGCCAUCUUAAUGGGGUAGCUGGCCUUCUCAUGUAAUAACCUUGCCUGCACAAAGCUUUGCAUCUUGAAACAAAAAGCACAGACUCCAGCCAAUGAAAUGGGCCUUAGCUGGGGUCCAAGGGCAGGAAGUGGCAGCCAGGAAGGGAGAGUUUCCAGGGCUCGAUUAUAAAAAGGUGGCUGGCUUGUGUCAGUUCCCUGUGUUACCGUAUCCGAUCUUAGCACCUUGAAACUCUUCCAUCACUAAUGAGGAGACACAGAAAGCUUUGAGCAACCUCAGCUUUCCACUGAGCUGCUGAGCCCAUACCGAGGUCGAAGCCUGGAAGUCCACCCACAUCUGCCACUCAUAGGCACAGAUGUUGGAACAGAGUUCAGUCCUGCUCUUUCCCGACCUUAAGAGGCUUAGCGCAUCUCUGAAGCUGGAACAGGAGCUGGGAGGCACAGCUGAUUGGAAACGAGCUCCUCAGAACCACAGCACCCACAGCCGCACUUUGAGUUCUGUACUUCAAAGGGUAGACUGGGGAGUUCCUGUUGUGGCUCAGUGAUUCAAAUCCAAUUAGUAUCCAUGAGGAUGUGGGUUCGAUCCCUAGCCUCGCUCAGUGGGUUAAGGAUCUGGCGUUGCUGGGGCUGUGGUAUAGGCCAGCAGCUAUAAGCUCCGAUUUGACCCCUAGCCUGGGAACUUCCAUCUGCUGCAGGUGUGGCCCCAGAAAGCAAAAAGAAAAAGGGUAGUUUGGGAGCAGGGCCAUAAGUGGAGCUGGGAGGACUGGCCAGCACAAAGGCCUUUGGGAACACCAGGCUUCUGGGUGACACUGUCACAGACAGAGCAAAGCUGGCUGACGAAUUAGCUCCCACCAGCUAUAAGGCUGGCCCCAGAAAGUCCCUGGUCAAUUUCCUCAGGUUGGUAAAAAGAAUCACAGUUAGGCCUCAAGAGACCUCUUGGCUCUUAAGAUGCUGAGUUUGUUCCGCUCCUUCAGGCCAAGUUCACGUGGGCAAUCAAGUCAUGCAGAUCCUUAAAGGGGAAAAGGCACCUGGUUUGGCGUGCAUCUGGUUCCCCUUGCCUCCGAGUUCUGGCCUUCACAGGAAGGUCUGCCCUCAGGAAUCCCGUCAUUCAAUAAACCAGCAUCGACUGAACAACUACUGUAGCCAUCAACGCAGUUAUGGUCACUGAUGAACGCAAGUAGCAGUUAGUGAACAGGAGGAAGGUCUCUUUCUUGUCAGGAAGGGUCUGUGAGGGUCCCAUCCUCUCUGGGCCCCAAACCUCCCAGGGUGGCUCAGGGACCUAGGCUCCCUUUAACGUGUGGGACCACACGUCAACAUGUGGCUUCCUGGUCACCAAGUUGGGAUCAGAGGGAUUAUGAAGAAUUCACGACAUUUGUCGUUGACCCCCUCUCUUGGUGGUGGUUUUUUUUUGGGGGGGGGGUGCCGCACUAGAGUCAUAUGGAAGUUCCCAGGCUCGGGGUGGAAUCGGAGCUACAGCUGCCGGUCUACACCACAGCCACAGCAACACCAGAUGUGAGUCACAUCUGCGACCUACACCACAGCUCAUGGCAAAUGCUGGAUCCUUAACCCACUGAGCGAGGGUGGGGAUGGAACACACAUGCUCAUGGAUACCAGUCCGGCUCAUUACCUGCUGAGCCACAAUGGGAACUCCUCGACCGCCCCCCUUUGGAGUAACACCAGUCAUUACUUUUCACACUUAUUGCCAGAACUCAUCAUGUGAACUUCCAAGUGAACUGCAAGCAGGCUGGGAAAAGUACUGAGCAUGACUGUCUCAGCCCCCACUCCCUCAUGUCCAAAAGCCCACAAGUACUUGGGGGCUCAAGAUAAAGAAAGGAGCCCCCUUCCUUUCCUGGGGAGAUGAAAAAGCCAGGGAAAUAUCUUUGUCAGUAGAUGCUGGACAUACUGAUUUUAUGGAACAUAGUUGGCAGGAUUCCAGCUAUAGUGAACCCCUCCACCCAGUGGGGUUGGUCUGGGAAGAAGAGGAAUAUUUAAUUCUAACCAUGCUUCACUCACAGGGGGCUGGACCUUGUGGGUAAGCCAGCCAAGUCUCUAUAGAAAUAGAGGAGAAGAGGUAUUGUCUUCUAUGCCCUCUUGAAGUCAGGAUUUGGUUGCAACUGACUAUUUUUAUCUUCCCUGAGGUGACCAAAUCUGAAGACUUGUCUAUUGGCCCAGGGGAAGAUGCUGGGGUCACAACAAUAUGGUGGUGCAACUAGAUUAUAUAUAUAGACAUAUAUAUAAUAUAUAUAUGUAUGUAUAAAGUCCUCUGGAAACAAUUAAGUUUAUUUCAUGGUUCCCACUAAGUGGCCAAUUUAAUUUAUUAGACUCUGCCUUCCACUCACGUUGUGUAAGCUAUUCAUUGUCCGUCUGCCUGCCCAUCAAUCCUUCCAAAAAUCUAUCUAUUCUUCCAUCCAUCCAUCCAGUCAUCCAUCCAUCCAUUCAGGCAUUCAUCCAAUCAUCCAUCUAUCCAUCCAUCAUCCAUCCAUCCAAACAUCUAUCCAUUUAAGCACUCAUCAAGUCAUCUAAUCAUCCUCUAUCUGUCCAUCAUCCAUCCGUCCAAACAUAUAUCCAUCCAAACAUCCAUCCAUCCAAGCAUCUAUUCAUCCAUCCAUCUGCUCAUCCAUCCAAAUAUACAUUCAUCUGUUCAAGCACUUAUCCAAGCAUCUAAUCAUCUUCUAUCUAUCCAUCCAUCAUCCAUCCAAACAUCUUAUCAUCCAUCCAUCCAUCCACUCAUCCAUUCAAAUAUACACCCAUCCAUUCAAGCACUCAUUCAAGCAUCAAAUCAUCCUCCAUCCAUCCAUCCAUUUAUCAAAACAAAUACUUGUUGACUGCUGACUCUUGCUGGACAUGGCUCUAGUCAAGGGGUAUAUAGCAGAGGACAACUAAGACUAGAUCCUUACUCUUCUGGAACUUAUAGUCUACUAGACAAUCAACAAGAAAGGAAAUAUUUAGAAAGGACCAUACCAGAGUUCUCUAGGAGCUAUGACGACUAUGAGAUGGAAGGAUAAGAGAAGGAGGGACUUGAAUGGGAGGGGUGUGAGGCUACUCUAAGGUGUUCAGAUAGCCUCCCUGAGGAAGGGAGAUAUGAGCUAAGACCUGAGUCAUGAGGGGGAGUCAAACCAGGGACAACAUGGGAGAAUAGAACUCAAGAAAUGACAGACAAAGAGGGCAAAACUUUGAGGUGGGAAUGGAUCUGUUUUGUUAGAAGAACAAACAGAAGGGAACCAGUGAGGUUGGAGUUAGUGAGCAAGAAGGGCUGCAGCAGGAACUGAGGGUGGAGUACAGGGCAGAUCUGUAUCACACUGGGCUUAUAAGACCAUGGUCCUCAGUCCAGAUUUCACUCUAGGAUUUAUGGGCAUCUACUGGAGGGUUUUAAGUCCAGGAGUGACAUGAUUUGAAUUAUGUUUUUAAAAGGUCGCCCCAUUAAGUUUCAUUUAGCAAACAUUGACUGUCUACUUAGUAGAUUCAUCUAAGAGCCAUGAAAUGCUCUGGAGGCAGGGAGAGCAAAGGAGAGAAAGACAGAAGCUUUUAAAUUUAUAAAACAAACAUUGGCCAUAG